GAUGAACGCUGGCGGCGUGCCUAAUACAUGCAAGUCGAGCGAACAGACGAGGAGCUUGCUCCUCUGACGUUAGCGGCGGACGGGUGAGUAACACGUGGAUAACCUACCUAUAAGACUGGGAUAACUUCGGGAAACCGGAGCUAAUACCGGAUAAUAUAUUGAACCGCAUGGUUCAAUAGUGAAAGACGGCUUUGCUGUCACUUAUAGAUGGAUCUGCGCCGCAUUAGCUAGUUGGUAAGGUAACGGCUUACCAAGGCAACGAUGCGUAGCCGACCUGAGAGGGUGAUCGGCCACACUGGAACUGAGACACGGUCCAGACUCCUACGGGAGGCAGCAGUAGGGAAUCUUCCGCAAUGGGCGAAAGCCUGACGGAGCAACGCCGCGUGAGUGAUGAAGGUCUUCGGAUCGUAAAACUCUGUUAUUAGGGAAGAACAAAUGUGUAAGUAACUAUGCACGUCUUGACGGUACCUAAUCAGAAAGCCACGGCUAACUACGUG
This 497-nucleotide ribosomal RNA is filed under the name uncultured bacterium. RNAcentral describes it as "partial 16S ribosomal RNA". It matches the Rfam family "Bacterial small subunit ribosomal RNA", at positions 28 to 507 of the family's 1533-position model. The record is from RNAcentral.